UUAAGCGACUAAGCGUACACGGUGGAUGCCCUGGCAGUCAGAGGCGAUGAAGGACGUGCUAAUCUGCGAAAAGCGUCGGUAAGGUGAUAUGAACCGUUAUAACCGGCGAUGUCCGAAUGGGGAAACCCAGUGUGAUUCGUCACACUAUCGUUAACUGAAUACAUAGGUUAACGAGGCGAACCGGGGGAACUGAAACAUCUAAGUACCCCGAGGAAAAGAAAUCAACCGAGAUUCCCCCAGUAGCGGCGAGCGAACGGGGAGCAGCCCAGAGUCUGAAUCAGCUUGUGUGUUAGUGGAACGGUCUGGAAAGUCCGACGGUACAGGGUGAUAGUCCCGUACACCAAAAUGCACAGGUUGUGAACUCGAAGAGUAGGGCGGGACACGUGGUAUCCUGUCUGAAUAUGGGGGGACCAUCCUCCAAGGCUAAAUACUCCUGACUGACCGAUAGUGAACCAGUACCGUGAGGGAAAGGCGAAAAGAACCCCGGCGAGGGGAGUGAAAAAGAACCUGAAACCGUGUACGUACAAGCAGUGGGAGCACCUUCGGGUGUGACUGCGUACCUUUUGUAUAAUGGGUCAGCGACUUAUAUUCUGUAGCAAGGUUAACCGUAUAGGGGAGCCGCAGGGAAACCGAGUCUUAACUGGGCGUUAAGUUGCAGGGUAUAGACCCGAAACCCGGUGAUCUAGCCAUGGGCAGGUUGAAGGUUGGGUAACACUAACUGGAGGACCGAACCGACUAAUGUUGAAAAAUUAGCGGAUGACUUGUGGCUGGGGGUGAAAGGCCAAUCAAACCGGGAGAUAGCUGGUUCUCCCCGAAAGCUAUUUAGGUAGCGCCUCGUGAAUUCAUCUUCGGGGGUAGAGCACUGUUUCGGCUAGGGGGUCAUCCCGACUUACCAACCCGAUGCAAACUACGAAUACCGAAGAAUGUUAUCACGGGAGACACACGGCGGGUGCUAACGUCCGUCGUGAAGAGGGAAACAACCCAGACCGCCAGCUAAGGUCCCAAAGUCAUGGUUAAGUGGGAAACGAUGUGGGAAGGCACAGACAGCCAGGAUGUUGGCUUAGAAGCAGCCAUCAUUUAAAGAAAGCGUAAUAGCUCACUGGUCGAGUCGGCCUGCGCGGAAGAUGUAACGGGGCUAAACCAUGCACCGAAGCUGCGGCAGCGACACUAUGUGUUGUUGGGUAGGGGAGCGUUCUGUAAGCCUGCGAAGGUGUGCUGUGAGGCAUGCUGGAGGUAUCAGAAGUGCGAAUGCUGACAUAAGUAACGAUAAAGCGGGUGAAAAGCCCGCUCGCCGGAAGACCAAGGGUUCCUGUCCAACGUUAAUCGGGGCAGGGUGAGUCGACCCCUAAGGCGAGGCCGAAAGGCGUAGUCGAUGGGAAACAGGUUAAUAUUCCUGUACUUGGUGUUACUGCGAAGGGGGGACGGAGAAGGCUAUGUUAGCCGGGCGACGGUUGUCCCGGUUUAAGCAUGUAGGCUGGUUAUCCAGGCAAAUCCGGAUAAUCAAGGCUGAGGUGUGAUGACGAGGCACUACGGUGCUGAAGUAACAAAUGCCCUGCUUCCAGGAAAAGCCUCUAAGCAUCAGGUAACAUCAAAUCGUACCCCAAACCGACACAGGUGGUCAGGUAGAGAAUACCAAGGCGCUUGAGAGAACUCGGGUGAAGGAACUAGGCAAAAUGGUGCCGUAACUUCGGGAGAAGGCACGCUGGUGUGUAGGUGAAGUCCCUGCGGAUGGAGCUGAGACCAGUCGAAGAUACCAGCUGGCUGCAACUGUUUAUUAAAAACACAGCACUGUGCAAACACGAAAGUGGACGUAUACGGUGUGACGCCUGCCCGGUGCCGGAAGGUUAAUUGAUGGGGUUAUCCGUAAGGAGAAGCUCUUGAUCGAAGCCCCGGUAAACGGCGGCCGUAACUAUAACGGUCCUAAGGUAGCGAAAUUCCUUGUCGGGUAAGUUCCGACCUGCACGAAUGGCGUAAUGAUGGCCAGGCUGUCUCCACCCGAGACUCAGUGAAAUUGAACUCGCUGUGAAGAUGCAGUGUACCCGCGGCAAGACGGAAAGACCCCGUGAACCUUUACUAUAGCUUGACACUGAACAUUGAGCCUUGAUGUGUAGGAUAGGUGGGAGGCUUUGAAGCGUGGACGCCAGUCUGCGUGGAGCCAACCUUGAAAUACCACCCUUUAAUGUUUGAUGUUCUAACGUUGGCCCCUUACCGGGGUUGCGGACAGUGUCUGGUGGGUAGUUUGACUGGGGCGGUCUCCUCCCAAAGCGUAACGGAGGAGCACGAAGGUUAGCUAAUCCUGGUCGGACAUCAGGAGGUUAGUGCAAUGGCAUAAGCUAGCUUGACUGCGAGCGUGACGGCGCGAGCAGGUGCGAAAGCAGGUCAUAGUGAUCCGGUGGUUCUGAAUGGAAGGGCCAUCGCUCAACGGAUAAAAGGUACUCCGGGGAUAACAGGCUGAUACCGCCCAAGAGUUCAUAUCGACGGCGGUGUUUGGCACCUCGAUGUCGGCUCAUCACAUCCUGGGGCUGAAGUAGGUCCCAAGGGUAUGGCUGUUCGCCAUUUAAAGUGGUACGCGAGCUGGGUUUAGAACGUCGUGAGACAGUUCGGUCCCUAUCUGCCGUGGGCGCUGGAGAAUUGAGGGGGGCUGCUCCUAGUACGAGAGGACCGGAGUGGACGCAUCACUGGUGUUCGGGUUGUCAUGCCAAUGGCACUGCCCGGUAGCUAAAUGCGGAAGAGAUAAGUGCUGAAAGCAUCUAAGCACGAAACUUGCCCCGAGAUGAGUUCUCCCUGAGACUUUAAGUCUCCUGAAGGAACGUUAAAGACGAUGACGUUGAUAGGCCGGGUGUGUAAGCGCAGCGAUGCGUUGAGCUAACCGGUACUAAUGAACCGUGAGGCUUAACCUU
This 2900-nucleotide ribosomal RNA is filed under the name Klebsiella pneumoniae. Its description in RNAcentral is "bacterial LSU rRNA". It matches the Rfam family "Bacterial large subunit ribosomal RNA". The record is from RNAcentral. Lineage: Bacteria; Pseudomonadati; Pseudomonadota; Gammaproteobacteria; Enterobacterales; Enterobacteriaceae.